RNAcentral lists this ribosomal RNA (2781 nucleotides) under Triticum aestivum (bread wheat). RNAcentral describes it as "partial small subunit ribosomal RNA". The record is from RNAcentral. Lineage: Eukaryota; Viridiplantae; Streptophyta; Magnoliopsida; Poales; Poaceae.
AUGAGCUUACCUGCCAUUGGGAUCAUUGGUGCCAUCAAUGAGUGUGCCAGUUUGUUUCAGUCGGCCAAAUCUGUCAUUUCAUCUCUGCACUCCCGAUGGAGUGGCUCACAGGAGCAAAGUCUACAGGGUCGUGUCUUGCAAUUGGAGAGUGACCUACAGCAUCUCUGCGAUACUCUUCCAGCAAUGUAUGACCUCAUUAACGGAGCAGAGUACUGGAGAAGCCACAAACACCGUAUGGCUGUGGCCCAGCUCCUUCGGAGUCUCAAGGAUACCGUGUCCGAUGCAGAGGACCUUAUUGAUGAGUUCAGAUGGUACCAGAUGAAGGUGAAAGUGCAGAGCAAUGCAAGCCAAUCUCCUUUCAUCGAUUUCCUUGAUAAGGUCAUUCAAGGCGACUUCAACAAACUUAAGGAUGUCCAAUUAAGGUUGAAUCAUCUCUCGAGUCAGUUGCAGAAUAUGGGACUUCAUGGAGUUACACAACGUUUUGAUAAAUCAGUUAGGCCAGAGACCACCUCUUUGCCAAAUGAAAGGGAAAUAUUUGGUCGUGAUGAGGAGUUGAAGAAAGCAUUGGGAUUUCUUAAUGUACCAACAAAUUUAAAGCGCAAGAGAGCAACUAGUUCAGUCAAUGCACCAAGGGCAUCGACAAGCAAUCAAUUUAGUAAUGAAUCAAGAAUAUCAGAUCUUCCGGUUUUACCUUUACUUGGAAUUGGCGGUGUUGGAAAGACUACAUUGGCCCAACAUAUCUGUAGCCAUCAACGAGUGAAAUAUCACUUUGAGAUGAUAAUUUGGAUUUGUGUCUCAGAUGACUUUGAUGUGAAGAGGUUAACUAAAGAGGUCAUGCAAUCCUGUACUGGAAAAGAAGAAAAAAAUGAUAAUUUGGAUUCUCUUCAGCGUGCUCUCCAUGACUAUGUGGACAAUAAAAGGUUAUUGAUAGUCCUAGAUGACAUAUGGGAUGAUGCCUUGAAGGAGAAUGGGCAGUGUUGGAAGAGGUUUCUUGCACCUUUUAGAAGCGCCCAAGAGGGAAGUACAAUGUUGGUCACCACUAGAUGCCCAAAGGUUACCGAGGGGGUGCGCACAAUGGAGCCAAUUAAAUUAGAAGGACUAAAGGAUGACGUCUUCUGGAAAUUUUUCAAAUUGUGUGCGUUCGGAUCUGAGGAUUCUGACAAUGACCCUGAGUUGGAGAACAUUGGUAAAGGAAUACUUCCUAAAUUGAAGGGUUCCCCCUUGGCUGCCAAAACCCUGGGACGCAUGUUAAGCAUGGAUCUACAAGCAUCAAAUUGGAAAUUUAUACUUGAGAGUGAACUGUGGACGUUGCCGCAAGGGGAGACUGACAUUUUGCCUGCCCUUCGGUUGAGCUACAUGUAUUUGCCAUUCUAUUUGAAGCAAUGCUUUUCAAUUUGUGCUAUGUAUCCCAAAGAUUACAAAUUUGAGAAGGCAUGCUUAGCUGAAAUUUGGGCAGCAGAAGGCUUUGUGGAACCUCAACAUGAUCUUCCAAUUCAAGAUAUUAGUUGUCAGUAUUUUGAAGACCUGGUAGCACGAUCCUUCUUUCAAGAAGUUAGUGGUGGAUAUGUGAUCCAUGACUUGCUUCAUGACAUGGCACAAAAAGUUUCAGAGCAUGACUGCUUCAUCUUAAGAAAUGAGGGUGACUUUGAUAAAAUUCCUCAAAAUGUUCGUCAUCUGUAUGUACUCCCUAGCAAAGACUUUGAUGAUUGCAACUUGUCAAGACUAUGCAAGUACACGAAGUUGCGCACCUUAAUUUGCAAGAAGAACUUAGGAAUAAACACACGGUGGGUAAUGGACCAAUGGUGUACUGAACUUCCGCGAAUGCGUGUGAUUUCUUGUGCCUACGCAAAUAAGUUACCAGAUAGUAUUGGCAACUGGAAGCAUCUCCGGUAUCUUGAAAUCUCCAAUGCUUGUCCUUUUACGACAAUUCCUUCAACUUUUUGUUGGCUAUAUAAUCUGCAGAUUUUAUAUGCCAAGAAAUGCAAGCUACGAAGCUUGCCAGAAGGCUUUGAUAUGUUGACCAGUUUGCAGAAAUUCGAAUUAUAUGGAUUAACAUAUUGUGUUGGGUGUCACUUGCAUCUUGGUCGACCCACCGAUGCGCAGGGACAAGGAAUUAGGUUAUUAAAGAAUCUGAACCAAUUCCGUGGACACUUGAAGUUAUCUAGUGAUGGCAAGCUAAGCAUACGUGAUGCAACAGAAGCUGAACUGAUGAAAAAGAAAUACAUUGGCGAGUUGAAACUGUGUAUGCGUUCAACUACCCCAUCGGACAAAGCCAAUGAGAUAGAAGUGCUACAAGUUCUGCAACCUCCUACCAGUCUCACUUCUCUGGUCCUCCAGGGUUGUUCCGGUGUCUCGCUCCCAAGAUGGUUUAAGCCGGAAAACUUUCAAAGCUUAAAAUCACUUACUUUUGAAUGUUGUGACGGACUCAAGAGCAUAAAGAUAAAUGCAAAAGGUAUUUUCCUUUCCCUGACUGACCUAACCAUUGGUCGGUGCGACAAUAUCUCCAGCCUAGAACAUUUUUUGCAUCGAGAUUAUAUACCAGCCAUCAAAAUAAUAAGAAUUGAAGAAUGCAAGAGUUUAGAAACAAUACCAGAUGAAGCGUUUGGUAAUUUGCAUUUCCUUGAAGAACUGCACAUGGUCGGUUGUCCAAACCUAGUUUCAAUUGGUGGAGCAAAGGCAGUUGCAAAAGUAAAGAACGUGCAGAUAUCCAAUUGUCCAAAGUUAAAGGAAGCAGAGAUAAUGAAUAGAAGGUUCCGUCUAAGGGACUGGUACGUUGGGUAA